Pocillopora damicornis (cauliflower coral) is the source of this 170-nucleotide long non-coding RNA. Lineage: Eukaryota; Metazoa; Cnidaria; Anthozoa; Scleractinia; Pocilloporidae. The record is from RefSeq and is a predicted model, not a curated record.
AGGUAUUUGUUCAAAAGUGAGGCAAGAGAAUGUCAAACAGCAAGGACUCACUAGACUCUUAUGUACUCAUCACUGGCAUGGUGAAUAGAUGAAAUCAUGGAUAACCUGCAACAACUUCAAAAUCAUGUUACAGCUGAAAACUUCAGCAAUACAAUCGCGAGGGAAGGAAG